RNAcentral lists this ribosomal RNA (495 nucleotides) under uncultured beta proteobacterium. RNAcentral describes it as "bacterial SSU rRNA". It matches the Rfam family "Bacterial small subunit ribosomal RNA", at positions 30 to 521 of the family's 1533-position model. Lineage: Bacteria; Pseudomonadati; Pseudomonadota; Betaproteobacteria. The record is from RNAcentral.
AUUGAACGCUGGCGGCAUGCUUUACACAUGCAAGUCGAACGGCAGCACGGGUGCUUGCACCUGGUGGCGAGUGGCGAACGGGUGAGUAAUGCAUCGGAACGUACCCAGAGGUGGGGGAUAACCCGGCGAAAGCCGGACUAAUACCGCAUAAUUCCUGAGGGAUAAAGUGGGGGACCGCAAGGCCUCACGCCAUUGGAGCGGCCGAUGUCGGAUUAGCUAGUUGGUGGGGUAAAGGCUCACCGAGGCGACGAUCCGUAGCUGGUCUGAGAGGAUGAUCAGCCACACUGGGACUGAGACACGGCCCAGACUCCUACGGGAGGCAGCAGUGGGGAAUUUUGGACAAUGGGGGCAACCCUGAUCCAGCCAUGCCGCGUGAGUGAAGACGGCCUUAUGGGUUGUAAACUUCUUUUGUAUAGGAAUAAACCUACCCUCGUGAGGGUAGUUGAAGGUACUUUACGAAUAAGCAUCGGCUAACUCCGUGCCAGCCGCCGCGGU